AACGAACGCUGGCGGCAUGCCUAACACAUGCAAGUCGAACGAUGCCUUCGGGCAUAGUGGCGCACGGGUGCGUAACGCGUGGGAAUCUGCCCUUGGCUUGGGAAUAACAGUUAGAAAUGACUGCUAAUACCGGAUGAUGUCCCCCUGAGAGAUCUUGGGGACCAAAGAUUUAUCGGCCAGGGAUGAGCCCGCGUAGGAUUAGGUAGUUGGUGGGGUAAAGGCCUACCAAGCCGACGAUCCUUAGCUGGUCUGAGAGGAUGAUCAGCCACACUGGGACUGAGACACGGCCCAGACUCCUACGGGAGGCAGCAGUGGGGAAUAUUGGACAAUGGGGGGAACCCUGAUCCAGCAAUGCCGCGUGAGUGAUGAAGGCCUUAGGGUUGUAAAGCUCUUUUACCAGGGAUGAUAAUGACAGUACCUGGAGAAUAAGCUCCGGCUAACUCCGUG
This 447-nucleotide ribosomal RNA is filed under the name uncultured bacterium. RNAcentral describes it as "partial 16S ribosomal RNA". It matches the Rfam family "Bacterial small subunit ribosomal RNA", at positions 29 to 507 of the family's 1533-position model. The record is from RNAcentral.